RNAcentral lists this ribosomal RNA (440 nucleotides) under uncultured bacterium. Its description in RNAcentral is "bacterial SSU rRNA". It matches the Rfam family "Bacterial small subunit ribosomal RNA", at positions 338 to 795 of the family's 1533-position model. The record is from RNAcentral.
CCUACGGGAGGCAGCAGUGAGGAAUAUUGAGCAAUGGGCGCAAGCCUGACUCAGCAACGCCGCGUGGAGGAAGACGGCCUUCGGGUUGUAAACUUCUUUUCUGAGGGACGAUGAUGACGGUACCUCAGGAACAAGUUCCGGCUAACUACGUGCCAGCAGCCGCGGUAAAACGUAGGGGACAAGCGUUAUCCGGAUUUACUGGGCGUAAAGCGCCCGUAGGCGGCCAGCCAAGUUGGCUGUGAAAGCUCCCGGCUUAACUGGGAGAGGUCAGUCAAAACUGGUUGGCUAGAGGCUGAAAAAGGCGAGCGGAAUUCCCGGUGUAGUGGUGGAAUGCGUAGAGAUCGGGAGGAACACCAGUGGCGCAAGCGGCUCGCUGGUUCAGCCCUGACGCUGAGGGGCGAAAGCGUGGGGAGCGAACGGGAUUAGAUACCCUGGUAGUC